RNAcentral lists this transfer RNA (73 nucleotides) under Pelodiscus sinensis (Chinese soft-shelled turtle). It matches the Rfam family "tRNA". Rfam says of the family: Transfer RNA (tRNA) molecules are approximately 80 nucleotides in length. The record is from Rfam by way of RNAcentral. Lineage: Eukaryota; Metazoa; Chordata; Testudines; Trionychidae.
GGGGAAUUAGCUCAAGUGGUAGAGCACUUCCUUUACAUGCAAGAGGUAGUGGGAUUAAUGCCCAUGUUCUCCA